This 253-nucleotide ribosomal RNA is filed under the name uncultured bacterium. RNAcentral describes it as "partial 16S ribosomal RNA". It matches the Rfam family "Bacterial small subunit ribosomal RNA", at positions 524 to 776 of the family's 1533-position model. The record is from RNAcentral.
UACGUAGGGUGCGAGCGUUAAUCGGAAUUACUGGGCGUAAAGCGUGCGCAGGCGGUUUUGUAAGCCAGAUGUGAAAUCCCCGGGCUUAACCUGGGAAUGGCAUUUGGGACUGCAAGGCUUGAGUGCGGCAGAGGAGACUGGAAUUCCUGGUGUAGCAGUGAAAUGCGUAGAGAUGCGGAGGAACACCGAUGGCGAAGGCAGCCCCCUGGGCUGACACUGACGCUCAGGCACGAAAGCGUGGGGAGCAAACAGG